RNAcentral lists this ribosomal RNA (451 nucleotides) under uncultured bacterium. Its description in RNAcentral is "partial 16S ribosomal RNA". It matches the Rfam family "Bacterial small subunit ribosomal RNA", at positions 354 to 796 of the family's 1533-position model. The record is from RNAcentral.
GUGGGGAAUAUUGGACAAUGGGGGGAACCCUGAUCCAGCCAUGCCGCGUGUGUGAAGAAGGCCUUUUGGUUGUAAAGCACUUUAAGUGGGGAGGAGGCUUACCUGGUUAAUACCUGGGCUAAGUGGACGUUACCCACAGAAUAAGCACCGGCUAACUCUGUGCCAGCAGCCGCGGUAAUACAGAGGGUGCAAGCGUUAAUCGGAUUUACUGGGCGUAAAGCGCGCGUAUGUGGCCAAUUAAGUCAAAUGUGAAAUCCCCGAGCUUAACUUGGGAAUUGCAUUCGAUAGUGGUUGGCUAGAGUAUGGGAGAGGAUGGUAGAAGUCCAGGUGUAGCGGUGAAAUGCGUAGAGAUCUGGAGGAAUACCGAUGGCGAAGGCAGCCAUCUGGCCUAAUACUGACACUGAGGUGCGAAAGCAUGGGGAGCAAACAGGAUUAGAUACCCGAGUAGUCC